ACCUGAGGACAUCUAUAAAAGCAAGUGGCUCCGCCUCCGUCGUCCUCUUUCUUUCCGCGUUCGGGAGAAGAAGUCGCCAUGGGUGAAAACAUCAAAACUACACUAGUGAUAAAGGGCGUGACAAAGGGUUCCAUGCUUGCAGAAUGGGUCUGCUUUUUACAGCAAGACUUCUGUGUAACUUGAACACCUGCUAUGCUACAGAUUGCAAAAUGUCUAUAAACAGAUCUACAUGACUCAUUUGGAUGGGUGAACCAUGAAGCAAAGAAAGAUCUAGAAUCAACUUUGAAACACUGUAUUCAGAACUACUUUUAAUGGUAAGUCAUUACAGAGAUUGGCCUCAGUAAAACGUAUUUCCUAGAGAUACUAUAAUAGUGAUAUUCUGACAAAAUAAAGUUACAUAGACGAUUGUGAAUGGCCAGCAAUUCCCAGCAAGAUUUUAACUGAUCAAGGCAAUUGAUAUAAGAUUAAAAUCAGAUUUUAAAAUCAGACAUAUAAAUGAAAGGAACUGAAUGGAGAGAGAAUGCAGAAGUUUGUCUGACAUGAUCUUAACCAUCUUGAGUCCCUUGGGGAGAUAGGUGUGGGAUAUAAAGUUUUUUAGUAUCUAUAAUUUGUCUAGCAAUGUAGCAAUGAAGUAUUUCUUUGUUUCUUGCUGAAGUUCAUUUAGCUUGCGUAUCUACUUCUGCCAUUUCUGCUCUAGAAAUACUUUACUCGCAACAUAGAAGUCUUUAAACAAUACAGUGAUAAUUUCGUGGAUUGUGUAACUGUCACUUUGGAUGAACUUCAUUUGCAGCAUUAGAAUCAAUUCAGCAGGGUUUAAAAUGAUGAUUAAAUGUCUGACCUGAAGUCACAUGUGGAUUCAUUGCACUGAAAACCCUGUACAGGCCUGGGGUUUUUACACAGUGAAUAGCUUGCUUAUCGAUGUGGAUAUGAAAUGAGUAACGGAGGUCUUUAAUUCUCACUUAGGUCCAGACUGGAACUGCCAAGCUGGGUAAGAGCCUAUUUUUGACUUUUGUCUCACAAGAGUGACUUGUCCAUUGCUUACUACGACUUGUAACCAAUGAUGAAAUUGAAUUCCGCCAUAUGAAUCCUUGUGAAAUUAACACAAUUCCGUUCCAUUUACUGAGGUUACCUUGCUUAGCUGUCACUACAGUUAGGAUAGGGAAUAGUGAUUUGCUUUCUAAGUCAUCACUUGCUAUUAUGGAAGUAUGCUGGAGUGUGAAUAAUUCUGUAAUAUCAAUUUAAGGGAAGGCAACUGGUAUCUAAUCCAUUUAAGUUUGAGCCUCCUUGUGGAAAGAAAAAGUGAGAUAUAAAUAAACAUAAUAAUUAACUAACAUCUGCUUUUUUAAAUGUAAACGUAAACCGGUUCUUGGUAGGAAAUGUGUUGCCUAUCCAGUUUUGAAGUAUCUGUUUAUGCUGCUUGAAUUUUUAAAAAAGAACUUAUGUUGCAUUUCUAUAACAUCUUUUUCUCUCUUUAAAUUACUAAUAGGCAACAAGUCUCUCGUGUUGAUUAAUCUGUUGAAAGGUUAGUAAGAUAUGCAAUCCUGCAUAUUUUCUGUCAUGUUGGGGAGCCUCUAGACCAGUGAUAUUUUUGUUUGUUACCUUUGUGGACUUGCUUCAGAAAAUGAGGACGAAAAAUGCUGAAUUAAAUGUAGAAACUAGAGCACAUACUUUGGAAGAACUUCCUAGUUUACAUGGUUGGUGAUUGCUAGAACCUACUGGCAUUUAAAGUACGUUGUAUUGCAAUAGGUUCAUCAGUCAAUAGCCCCACCCUGCCUGCAAUAAAAUACCCCAGAAAAAAAGCCAAUGAUGUUUUUAAGAGUAGUGGACAGAAGAGAUUUCUGACAUAUAUUGCCUGAGGCUUUUGUAAAAAAAAUUAAUGGUGCCUAUAGUUGGGCAGAGAACUGUUGGUGACUCUGUAGGGACAUGCUCUAGUAUCAUGACUGAUUGAAUCCAUCAUUGCUUUUAAUGUAAGCUGCAUUGAGUCUCCUUGUGGAGAAAAAACCAGGGUAUAAAUCAACAUAAUAAAAUAAUAAUGGAAUAUACUAACAACGUCCUUGCAGAUGGCCAAUUCUCUCACACCAGAAGCGACUUGCAGUUUCUCAAGUCGCUCCUGACACAACAAAAAAAAAUGUGCUAAAUAUAGAAAUUGCCAUAAAACUCAAGGCAAUUGUGCCAUCAUGCACAUACCCACUCAGAAGGCUGCUGCGAGUAUAGAUAAGAAUUCAAAAUUUUGGUUGGAUGAUAUAUUAAUUAGGGCCUUUUUUCGUUUUAGUGGAAACUAAUUGAGAGAAGCUGGUCUUCCCUUCCAAAUUAGGUGAGUGGAUCUCCAAAUAAAAUCCAGA
Non-coding RNA from Anolis sagrei ordinatus, 2342 nucleotides. Lineage: Eukaryota; Metazoa; Chordata; Lepidosauria; Squamata; Anolidae. The record is from RefSeq and is a predicted model, not a curated record.